Molecule: ribosomal RNA, 492 nt
Filed under: uncultured bacterium
Lineage: Bacteria
Description: partial 16S ribosomal RNA
Rfam family: Bacterial small subunit ribosomal RNA
Source: RNAcentral
AGUGAACGCUGGCGGUAGGCCUAACACAUGCAAGUCGAACGGCAGCACAGUAAGAGCUUGCUCUUACGGGUGGCGAGUGGCGGACGGGUGAGGAAUACAUCGGAAUCUACUUUUUCGUGGGGGAUAACGUAGGGAAACUUACGCUAAUACCGCAUACGACCUACGGGUGAAAGCAGGGGAUCUUCGGACCUUGCGCGAUUGAAUGAGCCGAUGUCGGAUUAGCUAGUUGGCGGGGUAAAGGCCCACCAAGGCGACGAUCCGUAGCUGGUCUGAGAGGAUGAUCAGACACACUGGAACUGAGACACGGUCCAGACUCCUACGGGAGGCAGCAGUGGGGAAUCUUGGACAAUGAGCGCAAGCCUGAUCCAGCCAUACCGCGUGGGUGAAGAAGGCCUUCGGGUUGUAAAGCCCUUUUGUUGGGAAAGAAAAGCAGCAGGUUAAUACCCCGCUGUUCUGACGGUACCCAAAGAAUAAGCACCGGCUAACUUCGUG